CCCUUCGAUGUUCUGGGCCGCACGCGUGUUACACUGAUAAAUUCAACGAGUCUAGAACCUGUUCUGAGAAGAAUGGGGAAUCUUGUGAAAUUUUAUCGUGAUAGGGAUGGAUGAUUGCAAUUAUUCAUCUUAAACGAGGAAUGCCUAGUAAGGGCAGUUCAUCAAACUGUCCUGAUUACGUCCCUGCCCUUUGUACACACCGCCCGUCGCUCCUACCGAUUGGAUAUUCCGGUGAAAUUUUCGGAUUUGUGGGAGGUUAACUUCAACUGGCUUUGUCGGUUGAGACUCUCUGAAAAAGUUAAUUAAAUCUUAGUAUCUAGAGGAAGGAGAAGUCGUAACA
This 340-nucleotide ribosomal RNA is filed under the name uncultured eukaryote. RNAcentral describes it as "partial 18S ribosomal RNA". It matches the Rfam family "Eukaryotic small subunit ribosomal RNA", at positions 1470 to 1796 of the family's 1831-position model. The record is from RNAcentral.